GACGAACGCUGGCGGCGUGCCUAAUACAUGCAAGUAGAACGCUAAAGGAGGAGCUUGCUUCUCUGGAUGAGUUGCGAAUGGGUGAGUAACGCGUAUGUAACCUGCCUGGUAGCUGGGGAUAACUAUUGGAAACGAUAGCUAAUACCGCAUAAGAGUAGAUGUCGCAUGACAUUUGCUUAAACGUUGCAAUUGCAUCACUACCAGAUGCACCUGCGUUGUAUUAGCUAGUUGGUGAGGUAACGGCUCACCAAGGCAACGAUACAUAGCCGACCUGAGAGGGUGGUCAGCCACACUGGGACUGAGACACGGGCCAGACUCCUACGGGAGGGAGGAGUAGGGAAUCUUCGGCAAUGGACGGAAGGCUGACCGAGCAACGCCGGGUGAGUGAAGAAGGUUUUCGGAUCGGAAAGCUCUGUUGUAAGAGAAGAACGAGUGUGAGAGUGGAAAGUUCACACUGUGACGGUAUCUUACCAGAAAGGGACGGCUAACUACGUG
Molecule: ribosomal RNA, 495 nt
Filed under: uncultured bacterium
Lineage: Bacteria
Description: partial 16S ribosomal RNA
Rfam family: Bacterial small subunit ribosomal RNA
Source: RNAcentral